GAAAUGCGAUAAGUAAUGUGAAUUGCAGAAUUCAGUGAAUCAUCGAAUCUUUGAACGCACAUUGCGCCCGCCAGUAUUCUGGCGGGCAUGCCUGUUCGAGCGUCAUUUCAACCAUCAAGCCCCCGGCUUGUGUUGGGGACCUGCGGCUGCCCGCAGGCCCUGAAAAACAGUGGCGGGCUCGCUGUCACACCGAGCGUAGUAGCAUACAUUCUCGCUCAGGGCGUGCUGCGGGUUCCGGCCGUUAAACGAACUUCAUAACCCAAGGUUGACCUCGGAUCAGGUAGGAAGACCCGCUGAACUUAAGC
RNAcentral lists this unclassified non-coding RNA (305 nucleotides) under plant metagenome. RNAcentral describes it as "partial contains 5.8S ribosomal RNA, internal transcribed spacer 2, and large subunit ribosomal RNA". The stretch from base 1 to 105 matches the Rfam family "5.8S ribosomal RNA", at positions 50 to 154 of the family's 154-position model. The record is from RNAcentral.